RNAcentral lists this long non-coding RNA (604 nucleotides) under Brachypodium distachyon (stiff brome). Its description in RNAcentral is "long non-coding RNA (BDIS_LNC005709)". The record is from RNAcentral. Lineage: Eukaryota; Viridiplantae; Streptophyta; Magnoliopsida; Poales; Poaceae.
CCACCACGGCGUGUUCUGGCACUGCAUUGGGUACGGGACAGGGUACGGGUAAGGCACGGCCUUGUAUAUUGGUUUCGGCGGAUCAGGCUUCUUCUCAGGUUCGCACUUGCAGCAGCAUUUGCAUGGUUUGGGAACAGGUUUCUUCUCAGGCUCGCACUUGCAGCUGCAUUUGCAUGGUUUGGGUUCAGGUUUCUUCUCGGGCUCGCAUUUGCAGCUGCAUUUGCAUGGUUUGGGUUCAGGCUUCUUCUCAGGUUCGCAUUUGCAGCAGCAUUUGCAUGGUCUGGGAUCAGGUUUCUUCUCAGGUUCGGCUGGUUUUUUUGGCGGCCAUUCGGGGACGAUGAUGAUCUCCGUGACGACCUUGCAGGCCUUGGAGCAGAUCUUCUUGCGGAGCUUCUCGGCGUCGAACUUGCCGCGGACGAUCACCUUGUUGUUCUUGUCCUCGUACUCGAUCUUCUCGAUGCAGUAAUCCUCUGCGUUACACGUACGCAUAAGAAAAAUUUCCUAAUUUGUUUACGCGAAUAAUGUAUGAGCACCAUGCAAAACUUGAAUACGUAGUUAAUUUCCCGGCUUUGCUUCAAGAUACCAUUCCCAAUUUAUUUAUUUU